RNAcentral lists this ribosomal RNA (266 nucleotides) under uncultured bacterium. RNAcentral's name for it is "partial 16S ribosomal RNA". It matches the Rfam family "Bacterial small subunit ribosomal RNA", at positions 793 to 1055 of the family's 1533-position model. The record is from RNAcentral.
GUCCACGCCUUAAACGGUGCGCACUAGGUGUGGGAGGUAUCGACCCCUCCUGUGCCGACGCUAACGCAUUAAGUGCGCCGCCUGGGAAGUACGGCCGCAAGGUUGAAACUCAAAGGAAUUGACGGGGGCCCGCACAAGCGGUGGAGGAUGUGGUUUAAUUCGACGCAACGCGAAGAACCUUACCUAGGCUUGAACCGCUGGGUAAACCCUUGGAAACAGGGGCUGGUAGCAAUACCGACCCAGUAGAGGUGCUGCAUGGCUGUCGU